Molecule: long non-coding RNA, 1704 nt
Filed under: Amazona collaria (yellow-billed parrot)
Lineage: Eukaryota; Metazoa; Chordata; Aves; Psittaciformes; Psittacidae
Description: lncRNA (ENSACOG00000015323.1)
Source: RNAcentral
AUGGGCAGCCUGGGGCACCGCGUGGUGCUGUCCCGCACCAGCAAGUCGAGACAGGAGAAGACAUUCCGUCUGCCACCACUGCUGACAGUGGCACCUCGGACACCACCUCGCUCAGCGAGGGCAGACAUCAGGUGCCACCGGCUGCCACCUCUAACACCAGCAACCUCUGCAGCUUCUGGCAGUGUGACCAACUCGACCAUCAACAAUUCAAGCACUAACCCUCAGCAGCUUCUAACAGCCGCUGCCCACUGGCGCCGUGUCCCCAGUUACGGCAACAGAGGCACAUUUCUGAAGACCUGUCAGCCUGUUCUACGCAGGUCCAAGGUCUCUGCUCCCACAACAAAGAGCUCAGCGAGCACGAGCACAGAGCUGCGCAGGCGCAGCAUUGCCAGGCAGGGACCCUGCCAGCAGUCAACAGCUGCAGGGACACAACUGAGAAGAGACAGCUUCCUGGCAGCCAAGAGCAGCAAGGCCCCAGCCACUCAGCACAAAUUGAGGAGUGCUCAGCAAGUGGCAGAGCAUCUGCCAGCGAUGCCUGCAGCGGGCAGCAAGGGCAGCCUCAACAGCGAGUCGCUGGGGCUGCACCAGAAGGUAUCUCCCUGGUAUCUGCCCCUGCUGCCCUACAUCAAAACUUCAGGGCAGCCAAAGAGGAGCUGCCUGGCCAGAGCUCCUGAGAAGCAGCGGGCACCUCUCCCUCCUGUGGCACCGUCACAAGGUUCCCAUCGCUCUGGCAAGCAGACGGCAGCAGCCCCGGCACAGAGACAGGCACCUGCCCCACAGACCACCAAAGCAACAGACGCAACUCUGCAGGCCGCAGCCAUGAGCAAAGGGGGGAAGACAGCAGCCUUGCCAGCGGAGGAGGAGAGGCAGUGUGUUGAGGACAUCGAGAACAUGCUACCCCAAGUAAAAGUCUUGCAUUUACAAAACAUCUGCGUCAACCCCCUGGUCCCAGAGCUCUACCAAGACCCACGAGCGGAUAUCCAGGCUACACCCAGCAGCCAAAGCAGGGCAGGCACGGGUGAAGCAGGAGAGGAAAUCGGAGACCUGCAGAGCAUGUCUCCUGUCCCGGCCAGUCCCACGGACACCGAGGCAGCAGCUGUUACCCUGGCUGGAGCUGCUGAGGAAGAGCAGCACCGUGCAUCUGUCACUGCCGUUGCAGAAGUGGAGGAGGAAGCACCAGCACCAGCUUCCCCUGGCUUUCAAAUGCAGGAGGCUGUGGUAGAGGGACAGAGAAAUGCAUUUGACCUGCUCAGCCCCACAGCAACGCAGCUGGUUCUUCAGGAAAUAGCCGGGCGCCUCACGAGUGAUAUCCUGCACAAGGCUUUGGUUGUGAUUCAGAAAAGAGACGAGCAACGUCAAGAGCAUGAAGACAUGGCCCUAAGCCAUGUGGAGGUCUCAGUGGCAGCAGUGAGGCCUGCAACAGAUGAGGACAGCGAGACUCUUGUACGACCUGCUCAAAAGAUGCGCACACGUAUUGGGAAAGCUUUGCAGGUCUCAUCCAGGCGCAAAACGAAGACAGCACCUCAAAAGCAUCAGGGAGAAGCCAGCACAGCUGUUGCCUCCCCACCUUUGCACAGUGAUCAACUGGCAGUGUCUCCUAGAGCUGUUCAGGACACUGAGGAUGAGCCAGGUAUGUCCCUGAGUCAAGUGGCACCCAGACCAAGUCAGCAGCAGUGUGUGCCCCAGCAUCCCCUCCCUGUAUGA